UUACCAGGUCUUGACAUCCUCUGACACUCCUAGAGAUAGGACGUUCCCCUUCGGGGGACAGAGUGACAGGUGGUGCAUGGUUGUCGUCAGCUCGUGUCGUGAGAUGUUGGGUUAAGUCCCGCAACGAGCGCAACCCUUGAUCUUAGUUGCCAGCAUUCAGUUGGGCACUCUAAGGUGACUGCCGGUGACAAACCGGAGGAAGGUGGGGAUGACGUCAAAUCAUCAUGCCCCUUAUGACCUGGGCUACACACGUGCUACAAUGGAUGGUACAAAGGGCUGCAAGACCGCGAGGUUUAGCCAAUCCCAUAAAACCAUUCUCAGUUCGGAUUGCAGGCUGCAACUCGCCUGCAUGAAGCCGGAAUCGCUAGUAAUCGCGGAUCAACAUGCCGCGGUGAAUACG
RNAcentral lists this ribosomal RNA (400 nucleotides) under uncultured Bacillus sp. Its description in RNAcentral is "bacterial SSU rRNA". It matches the Rfam family "Bacterial small subunit ribosomal RNA", at positions 971 to 1370 of the family's 1533-position model. The record is from RNAcentral. Lineage: Bacteria; Bacillati; Bacillota; Bacilli; Caryophanales; Bacillaceae.